This 440-nucleotide ribosomal RNA is filed under the name uncultured bacterium. RNAcentral describes it as "bacterial SSU rRNA". It matches the Rfam family "Bacterial small subunit ribosomal RNA", at positions 29 to 517 of the family's 1533-position model. The record is from RNAcentral.
AGCGAACGCUGGCGGCAGGCCUAAUACAUGCAAGUCGAACGGUCUCUUCGGAGGCAGUGGCGGACGGGUGAGUAACGCGUGGGAACGUGCCCUUUGGUACGGAACAACUGAGGGAAACUUCAGCUAAUACCGUAUGUGCCCUUCGGGGAAAGAUUUAUCGCCAUUGGAGCGGCCCGCGUUGGAUUAGCUAGUUGGUGGGGUAAUGGCCCACCAAGGCGACGAUCCAUAGCUGGUCUGAGAGGAUGAUCAGCCACACUGGGACUGAGACACGGCCCAGACUCCUACGGGAGGCAGCAGUAGGGAAUCUUGCGCAAUGGGCGAAAGCCUGACGCAGCCAUGCCGCGUGAAUGAUGAAGGUCUUAGGAUUGUAAAUUCUUUCACCGGGGACGAUAAUGACGGUACCGGAGAAGAAGCCCCGGCUAACUUCGUGCCAGCAGCCG